GUCCAAGGUGAUUCCCUCUCCAAGGGGCUGACUAGUGCCCCUUUCAGGAACGUAGCAACUUGGAAGAAAACCUGGCAUGCCUGAGGUCUCUGGGGGAACAAGAGAUGCUUGUUUGUUGCCUUUCCCUGCCUUGGCUGCCUACAUGU
Cricetulus griseus (Chinese hamster) is the source of this 146-nucleotide small nucleolar RNA. Ensembl annotates it as small nucleolar RNA SNORA67. The record is from Ensembl. Lineage: Eukaryota; Metazoa; Chordata; Mammalia; Rodentia; Cricetidae.